Molecule: ribosomal RNA, 490 nt
Filed under: uncultured bacterium
Lineage: Bacteria
Description: partial 16S ribosomal RNA
Rfam family: Bacterial small subunit ribosomal RNA
Source: RNAcentral
AUUGAACGCUGGCGGCAGGCCUAACACAUGCAAGUCGAACGGUAACAGGAAGCAGCUUGCUGCUUCGCUGACGAGUGGCGGACGGGUGAGGAAUGUCUGGGAAACUGCCUGAUGGAGGGGGAUAACUACUGGAAACGGUAGCUAAUACCGCAUAACGUCGCAAGACCAAAGAGGGCGACCUUAGUGCCUCUUGCCAUCUGCUGUGCCCAGAUGGGAUUAGCUAGUAGGUGGGGUAACGGCUCACCUAGGCGACGAUCCCUAGCUGGUCUGAGAGGAUGACCAGCCACACUGGAACUGAGAAACGGUCCAGACUCCUACGGGAGGCAGCAGUGGGGAAUAUUGCACAAUGGGCGCAAGCCUGAUGCAGACAUGCCGCGUGUAUGAAGAAGGCCUUCGGGUUGUAAAGUACGUUCAGCGGGGAGGAAGGGAGUAAAGUUAAUACCUUUGCUCAUUGACGUUACCCGAAGAAGAAGCACCGGCUAACUCCGUG